UCCUUUGCAUGGCGCCUCGUUCUCAUUCAGUUACUCUCAGAACAAGGCGUCACACAAAGGAU
Molecule: microRNA precursor, 62 nt
Filed under: Monodelphis domestica (gray short-tailed opossum)
Lineage: Eukaryota; Metazoa; Chordata; Mammalia; Didelphimorphia; Didelphidae
Description: microRNA mdo-mir-12297h precursor
Source: miRBase by way of RNAcentral